Long non-coding RNA from Lolium perenne, 3408 nucleotides. RefSeq lists it as uncharacterized. Lineage: Eukaryota; Viridiplantae; Streptophyta; Magnoliopsida; Poales; Poaceae. The record is from RefSeq and is a predicted model, not a curated record.
CAUGAGCCUAAACUAACAUUACUGAAACUCGGUUUGGACUUCUCAUUUCAGUAGGUUGUCAUAAUUUCUUCACUCUUGUGUUACUUCUUAAACUCAAGUGUUUAGAACUAAAUAUGCAUAAGAAGAGCUAAAAAAUGCUUGAACCUGACACUAUCAAGUAAUAUUGGCCCGCCUUAUUUAUCCAUUAUCCUAAGCAGAAGUAUGAGUGAUUGGAAAAUGAUCUGGUACAUACCGUGUAACUGGUUAAAUACAUUGUUUGUACAUAACCAUCAGCCAUGCGAUUUUGUGCAUAUUAUUUUCAUGCGGUGUAUCAAUUAUCAUGACCAUCAAUUUGUGUUGUCGUUUUGAUUUAUAUAAAGAUUAUAGUGGAACAACUGCAUGCUUGGUUGAUAUGAAAUCCUAAAUCAGAACUCAUAACUAAGCUUGGAACUAUUUUUGAGUCCGUUCAUAUGUACGGAACAAUGUAGUAGCUAGCAAACUGAUAUGUGGUGGACAUGUAGUCUAUUUCAACUUAACAUACUACUCCCUUUGAUUUUUUUUAGCAUAGCGUUAUUUUGUUUUAAAUUGGUUCUCUAUAAAUGGUGAUACCUUCCAUCGAGUUGGCACACAUGGUUUUGGUUGUUCAUUGGCACGGAACAUUGUAUUAUCUGAAAAAUUCAUAGAAUGUGGAUAUGUUGUCUUUUAACUCAACAUGUUACUCCCUUUCAAUUUCUUCACCAUUUUUUUGGUUCUCUAUAAAAGGAGAUAUCUUGCACACAUGGUAACAGCUUUUCCUGUAGGGCUAGAUCAGUGGUUGUGAACCAAUGCAAAUAUUUAUCUUUUCUCUCUGUCACUCUAAGAUAUUACUACUAAAACUUCCAAGUAUGGUAGCCAGACCGUUUUGGCUGAUCAGGUUCAUUAUAUAAAUUCUCUACUAAGUUCUUAAUAUUGUCAAUUAAUCUCUGAUAUUGCAGUUAUUAUAAUUAGCACACAAUACUAGGGGUUAUUGGUGGGAUCAUGCAGUAGUUGGGACUCUCCUCUGGGAUCAAUCUGCCAGGCAGCGGUGCGCCCGCCUCCGGGAUCGAUCUGUCGGGCAGCGACGCGUCGGCACGCCUGCUGCAGCAUACAUUCGACCCACCGCUGGAGCGCAGCCUAGCGAGCAUGCAACGCGAGGGCAAGCCUGACUAGCGCAGUGGAGCGAGCAGGGCAGCAGGCGACCGCGAGGAUGAAGAAUAGUGCUGCUAAAAGUAGCUUAUUUGCAUUGUGGGAAAAAACUUCAAAAACAAAAAAGAGAAGACAUAAAAAGAUGAAUACCUAGCGUCUAAAACCUAGCGCGGCCAGUGGUACCAUCUUGCAAGGAUAAGAAGACAACCAUAGUGUUGACGGUAGCUCGAAGACUGGGAACUCAAGAGUGGAGAAGGCAUGACUAGGAGUAGGGUGCUGUCGCAGACGGUCUGGCCAUGUCCUCUUGCUCCACUCCACGACAUCUAUCUACAAGUGAUCUGAAAAUAAGGUCCACAUUGUUCAGCCAUGUUGAGAACAGAGAAAACAUGUGCAAUAUUAGGCAUUUCAUUAUACAGUGCUACGAAGUGGCUCAAGGAAAAUCUUGUGUAUUGUGUGGCUGACCAAAGGCAAAGACAAAGAGGCCAGGUGAUUAAGUUGAAUUCAUUUUAUUAUUGUUGAAUCAUCUCUAUUAUCUUUUCUCUUACUAUGGACGAUACUCUUUCAGAUAUCACGGUGCACUUCAGUUUUUAUAUUUAGUGUUUAGUCAUUCUAGAUAGUAUAAAAGAUCCAACAAAAGUUUGUACUUUCUAUUACAAAGUACUAUGUUACAACAAAAGGAAAUGUGUUAUCUGUUACAACCGAGCUAGGUACUAAGGCAUUUUCUUGCAAACAAAAUAUGUACCAUACAUUUACCAUUUCCCUAUAUCCAAUAAGUUUGCUUCAUUGGUGCAUUUGACUUACAGUCUAGAAUAGCGACAUGAUACUUCCUUACUAAUUUUGGCCGGGAUGUUUAGCUCGGGUCCUCAACAACAAUAUGGUACCUCAAUGUUUGGUCCUCCACAGCGGUAUGAUGUCAGAGUAACUUUAGAUAUAAAGAACCAGUAUGAUACGUAGGAACUCCAAGGUAUAAAAUAAACAAUACUUUCCAUUUUCAGUUGCAUGAAUGAUUUGAUAUUUCUUAAGAUUACGGGCGCAAAUAUCUAUGGUUUUCAGGUAAUAAAAAAGGAAAUUUUCUCUGAUAUAGAGUAUAACCUUACUAUCUUUUUUGUUCUGUUUUAGUGGAAUUCAUUCUACUUCUUUGAAGACUAACCUAUCAGUUUUUGUAUCCAUUUGACAUGGAAAUUCACUGAUUCUUCUAGAGAUUAUAACAGUGAACUACCGAUCAGAUUAUUACAUCUUCAUGCAAUACCAUUCUUUGUUUUUCUUUCGUUUAGUCUUUCAAUCAUGCUUAUGUUAUUUGUGCAAAACAUUUCCUUUAGAUAUGUUUUCCUUAGGUGCUAUCAUUAAGUGAUUGUUGCUACGAUUCCCCCUGAUGUCAUCGUCUCUUUUCUAACAUAUUGCCACCAGCCAUUCUGCCAUAUAUGUACCUAAAAUGCAACCAUCUAGGUGUGAAUCGUAGAUGCAAAUGUAUUUUGUCAGGUUUCUUCCAUUUUUGGCAUUGGCAUGAUUAUGCACUAUGACAAUUCAACUUCACUUUGAUUUCGAAUAUCCCUUGCAAAUGGCAAAUAUUUUUGCUCACACCUGGCUCUAUCCUUGCCUCACUAUCGUUGACUAACCAUGUUGUACAACAAGUACUGUUUGACAUCAGGAAUAACAAAAGCUAGGUUGAUGAUUAUUGCUAUGUUGAUGGCUGCAGAGUGGCACAAUGGCAGGGUUGGUCCCCGGUAACCGGCUGGGUCGUAUACAUCAUCAACCAAAGAAGGGAUCGUAUGACAUGAAGAGAACAUAGAAGUAAGUAAAUCACCCCUUAAGGAUCCGCUUCAGUGAAAAAACGGUUGUAAUUGAAAUGCUUCUACAACUGGAGAACUUCUCUAUGCCUACAGUAUUCUCCCAUUAAGAGAGUGAGAAAAUUGAAUGGAUCAAAGCAUUAUGUUUCCAGGUCAAAAAAAAUAAAUCAUUGGUUUAUGUAUAUAUAGUAACCUUCAAAUGCAUGCAGUAAUAUAUGCACUAACACUAUUUGAAUUUGCAGAAGUCUGGUUUGGUUACUGUGGUCCCUAAUGUUACACCUCCUUCCAAAGCAACUAAAUAGAAAAAAACGGCACAUUUACAUCACUCAUAGGAGACACGUGGAAUCAUUACUGGUUUCUAAAAUGUGCCAUCAUAAGAUAUAUGUCAAGCUUUGUAUGAAAACAGCCACCGUUAAUCUAUUCAUGAGCCAGUUGUAGAUAUUUCAUCGACAUGGCACUUGGCCAGUUUUUUUGGGGA